RNAcentral lists this ribosomal RNA (253 nucleotides) under uncultured bacterium. RNAcentral's name for it is "partial 16S ribosomal RNA". It matches the Rfam family "Bacterial small subunit ribosomal RNA", at positions 524 to 776 of the family's 1533-position model. The record is from RNAcentral.
UACGUAGGGACCAAGCGUUGUUCGGAUUUACUGGGCGUAAAGCGCGCGCAGGCGGCGGUGCUGGCCCGGCGUGAAAGCCCCCGGCUCAACCGGGGAGGGUCGUCGGGGACCGCACCGCUUGAGGGCGGUAGGGGCUGGUGGAAUGCCUGGUGUAGUGGUGAAAUGCGUAGAGAUCAGGCGGAACACCCGUGGCGAAGGCGGCCAGCUGGGCCGUCCCUGACGCUGAGGCGCGAAGGCGUGGGGAGCGAACGGG